AUGGCGCCGGAGUGGGAGGCGGCCUUGGGCAUGGAGCUCGGCAUGGGCUCGCACUACCACCACGCGCCGCCAUCCGCCGCCGCCUCGCCCAUGAACCACCACCACCACCACCACCACCACCACUCCGCAUACUCCCACUCCCAGCCCCCCCACCAGUACAAUUUUUACGGGGGCGCCGCGGGCGGGGACGGCGCCGCCGACCCCAUGCGCGUCGACGAGAUGCUCGACCUCUCCUCCCACCUCGGCGCGCACGACUUCUUCUCCGGCGCGAACAAUGGCGCCGCCGACAACGCGCCGGCCCCGCCCGCGGCUGCCGCGGCCUCCUCGUCCGACCACCAGCACCACCACCCCUCGUCCUUCAACCUCUCCUUCGCCGACGAGUUUUACCUGCCUGUCCCGACUGAGGAAGCCGCGGAGCUGGAGUGGCUGUCCAACUUCGUGGACGACUCCUACCCGGACAUCCCCAACUACCCGCCGGCCGUGCAGGCGGCGAUGGCGGCCGCCGCGAGGAACGGCGGCGUUGUGGUGAAGCAGGAGAAUUCCGCGUCGGCGGCCGCGCCAGGCCGCGGCGCGCGGAGCAAGCGCUCGCGGGCGGUCUCCGCGGCCGCGGCCGCGUGGCACGCCCUGGCUCCGCGCCAGCCCUCCCCGUCCUCCUCCUCGUCGUCCUCCGACUCCAAGCCGGCGCGGUCAGGCGGCGGCGGCGGCGGCGGAGGCGUCAAGAAGAGCGGCCUCGUGGUCGGGGCGGCCGAGCUAGGGGGCGGCGGGGACCAGAGCGGCGAGGUGCGCCGGUGCACGCACUGCGCGUCGGAGAAGACGCCGCAGUGGCGGACGGGGCCGCUGGGCCCCAAGACGCUGUGCAACGCGUGCGGGGUGCGGUACAAGUCGGGGCGGCUGGUGCCGGAGUACCGCCCGGCGGCGAGCCCCACGUUCGUGCUGACGCAGCACUCCAACUCCCACCGCAAGGUGAUGGAGCUGCGCCGGCAGAACGAGCUGGUGCACCUCCACGGCGGCGUGGGCGGGGCCGGCGUCGUGUCGGCGUCCUCCGGCUCCGGCGGCGCGGCGGAGCACAUGUUCCGCGACUACGGCGUGUGCUGA
Molecule: ribosomal RNA, 1095 nt
Filed under: Triticum aestivum (bread wheat)
Lineage: Eukaryota; Viridiplantae; Streptophyta; Magnoliopsida; Poales; Poaceae
Description: partial small subunit ribosomal RNA
Source: RNAcentral